AUCCAUUGUGUCAUGUAAGACUUUCUGUUUAUGUCUGUGGUCUAAACUGGAGUCUGACACUGAAGACAACUUUGAGGAGACAUCAGGCUCAUGUUUUUCUUUCCCUUUUUUGGCUGCUUUCAAAUAUUUUGAAUUAUUUUUCAAAUCCUCAACAUCUUCAUAUAUUUCUUGGCUCACAUUUUCUUGCUUUUUAAUUUUCACUUUUUGAUCAUUUGCUAUGCCCAGUUCAAAAGACUGAAGAGGGCUAAUGUCUGGAGUUGAUAAGGGACUUACGUCGGUCACAGUAUCUUCAGACUCCUCAGGGUAGUGGCCACAUUUUGGUGUAGUACUUGAAGGCUGUGUUUCUGUCGAUUUUAUUCCUGAUUGAUACUUCUGUUUUGGUGACAGGAGGGUUAUACCAGACGCAUGUUUCUUGGAUGACGGAGACGAAUCAGAUAGAUGGCUAUCAGACCCUGCAUCUAAACCAUCUGUACCUGAACCUGAAGAUGAGGAAGAUAAAGAGGAGGAGGAGGAGCUAACUUUGCGAUACUUUUUCCUCGUGCUUUUUUUAACUUACGAAGGAAGAAGCAGAGACAAGGAGAUGAUUCCU
This 589-nucleotide long non-coding RNA is filed under the name Pan troglodytes (chimpanzee). Its description in RNAcentral is "long non-coding RNA NONPTRT012829". The record is from RNAcentral. Lineage: Eukaryota; Metazoa; Chordata; Mammalia; Primates; Hominidae.